GAUGAAGAACGUAGCGAAGUGCGAUAACUAGUGUGAAUUGCAUAUUCAGUGAAUCAUCGAGUCUUUGAACGCAACUUGCGCUCAAUGGUAUUCCAUUGAGCACGCCUGUUUCAGUAUCAAAAACACCCCACAUUCAUAAUUUUGUUGUGAAUGGAAAUGAGAGUUUCGGCUUUAUUGCUGAAUUCUUUAAAAUUAUUAGGCCUGAACUAUUGUUCUUUCUGCCUGAACAUUUUUUUAAUAUAAAGGAAUGCUCUAGUAAAAAGACUAUCUCUGGGGCCUCCCAAAUAAAUCAUUCUUAAAUUUGAUCUGAAAUCAGGCGGGAUUACCCGCUGAACUUAAGCAUAUCAAUAAGCGGAGGA
This 359-nucleotide unclassified non-coding RNA is filed under the name soil metagenome. RNAcentral describes it as "partial contains 5.8S ribosomal RNA, internal transcribed spacer 2, and large subunit ribosomal RNA". The stretch from base 1 to 119 matches the Rfam family "5.8S ribosomal RNA", at positions 35 to 154 of the family's 154-position model. The record is from RNAcentral.